Long non-coding RNA from Lathyrus oleraceus (garden pea), 1009 nucleotides. RefSeq lists it as uncharacterized. The transcript is spliced from 3 exons. NCBI's taxonomy places the organism in Eukaryota, Viridiplantae, Streptophyta, Magnoliopsida, Fabales, Fabaceae. The record is from RefSeq and is a predicted model, not a curated record.
AUGAGUGACAGAAGCAGUAUUGCAGAUGUUAUCUGCGGACAAUUGGAAAGGUCUACUUCUUUUGAAUAUUCUGUAACUCGAAUCCUGAGAUGUUGCAAGUCACUAUAUCCGGAAAUAUCAAGUGAACCUUACAUCAUCUAGGAAUUUCUGGAUGAAGAAUAAAGACUUUCAAUGCUUCAGGAAUUAGGCUGCGCUGGAGGGGUCACUUGUGGUGCAAAGGGCCUUUCGAGAUUUGCUUGGUGUUUAUGGAUGUGAAGUCCAGCACAUGUCUGCAGCAGCAGGGCAUUGCCUUACGCUCGCGACAUUCCAAGGCACAUUUUGUAUGGUUUCUUUGACGCCAUACACAAAAUGCAGUCUCAACGUGGCUGGCGAUCUCGAGUGCGAUAUGUUCAGAAGAUGUGUCCAAGCAAUCAAGUAAACAUCCUGAGGAGAAACGAUUUGAUGUGCUGUACCGGUAAAAUGAAAUUCAUAGAAGAUUGACGGUUGUAUUGUCCGGUUGAGUCAAUUUGCCUUCCAUUUGUGACGGUAUCCGAUCCCUUGUUUUUUUUGAGCGCUCUAAUAUUGAACUGCAGUUGUUCAUUGUGCAGGCAUUAAGAAGACCAUGAUUCCAAAGUUUGAUCGUGAAUAAUGUCCAACACCAAUGUAGAGCUCGGAAUGGGAUCAACUCUUCUGCACGAUGCUUCGAAAAUGCCUCACAAGCCCACGGCACAUGACCAUUAGCCAGUACCCCUUGUUGUUUUUGACGGUUGCAGUCUUGGAUGUUAUACUAGAUGAAUGAUUAACAUGAGAAUCCAUCUUUCUUCCCGUGAUCUUAGAGUGAGAAGAUUGUCAGCAAAUUUUGCAUCAGACACAGUAUCGGUGGACGAAACUUUAUUUCGAAUAGCCGUUGUAGGUUGCUAUUGUUGCAUACCAUGAUGUGAGACACAGUUCUAUCAUUUGCUCAAAUAUGUUUCUAGCCAUAUGUAGUCUUCCAGACUUAGCAUACGUAGUAAUAAGAUAAUCAUUUACA